GAAAAUCCCAUUAUAUUUUUAAAUGGAAAACUCAGAUUGCAAAAUCACAUAGAAAUUCUGAUCUCAACUGUGAAAAAUAUACAAAGGCUUUUUAAAAAUUGAAAGAGAUGCGCCAAAACAUGUAUAAUAGCUAUGAUGAUAGAAUUAUGGGGUUUUGUUUGUAAUUUUCAGAUUUCUCAGAUGUUCUACAAUGGGCAUGACCUGCAGUACAAAAGGAAGUGGCAACAGUGGGAGUCCUUGUGUGGGGACAAAUUGUCCCCACAAAAGAUAUAUUGAAGUUCUAAACCCCAGUAUUUGUGAAUGUGACCUUAUUUGGAAAUGAGUCUUUGCAGAUAUAAUCAAGUUAAAGUAUGGUUAUACUGAAGUAGGAGUGUGCCCUACUCUAAAAUGACUGUGUCCUUAUAAAAAGAGGAGAAGAGACCAAAACACACAGAGGAGAACUCCACAUGAAGAUGGAGGCAGGGACAGCCAAAGGAUGCCAACCAUUGCUGGCAACCACCAGAAACUAGAAAGAGGCAAGGAAGGAUUCUCCUCUAGAGCCAUCAAGGAGAUCAUGGAGCUACCAAUACCCUGAUUUUCAAACUGCUAGCCUCCAGAACUGUGAGACAAUAAAUAUCUGCUGUUGUAUUAA
Molecule: long non-coding RNA, 631 nt
Organism: Galeopterus variegatus (Sunda flying lemur)
Lineage: Eukaryota; Metazoa; Chordata; Mammalia; Dermoptera; Cynocephalidae
Exons: 2
Source: RefSeq, a predicted model, not a curated record